RNAcentral lists this ribosomal RNA (1266 nucleotides) under Triticum aestivum (bread wheat). RNAcentral's name for it is "partial small subunit ribosomal RNA". The record is from RNAcentral. Lineage: Eukaryota; Viridiplantae; Streptophyta; Magnoliopsida; Poales; Poaceae.
AUGACGGAAAAACUUUUUGUCCAAACAUUAAUUGGUCGUGUAUUAGCAGACGAUAUAUAUAUCGGUUCACGAUGCAUUGCCGCGCGAAAUCAAGAUAUUGGAAUUGGAUUAGUCAAUCGAUUCAUAACUGCCUUUCGAGCACAACCAUUUCGAGCACAACCAAUAUAUAUUAGAACCCCCUUUACUUGCCGAAGCACUUCUUGGAUCUGUCAAUUAUGCUAUGGCCGGAGUCCUACUCAUAGUGAUCUGGUCGAAUUGGGAGAAGCCAUAGGUAUUAUUGCAGGUCAAUCAAUUGGGGAGCCAGGGACUCAACUCACAUUAAGAACUUUUCAUACUGGCGGAGUAUUCACAGGGGGUACUGCCGACCUUGUACGAUCCCCUUCGAAUGGAAAAAUAAAAUUCAAUGAGAAUUUGGUUCACCCCACAUGUACCCGUCAUGGGCAGCCUGCUUUUCUAUGUUAUAUAGACUUGCAUGUAACUAUUCAGAGUCAAGAUAUUCUAUAUAGUGUGAAUAUUCCCUCAAAAAGCUUGAUUCUAGUGCAAAAUGAUCAAUAUGUAAAAUCCGAACAAGUAAUUCCGGAGAUUCGUGCCGGAACGUCCACUUUACAUUUUAAAGAAAGGGUACAAAAGCAUAUUUAUUCUGAAUCAGACGACGAAAUGCACUGGAGUACUGAUGUUUACCAUGCGCCCGAAUAUCAAUAUGGUAAUCUUCGCCGAUUACCAAAAACAAGCCAUUUAUGGAUAUUGUCAGUAAGUAUGUGCAGAUCCAGUAUAGCGUCUUUUUCACUCCACAAGGAUCAAGAUCAAAUGAAUACUUAUGGUAAAAAAGAUAGGGAAAUUCUUGAUUAUUCAACGUCGGAUCGAAUCAUGUCCAAUGGCCAUUGGAAUUUUAUCUAUCCUUCUAUUUUUCAAGAUAAUUCAGAUUUGUUGGCGAAAAAGCGAAGAAAUAGGUUCGUCAUUCCAUUACAAUAUCAUCAAGAACAAGAGAAAGAACUAAUAUCCUGUUUUGGGAUUUCAAUUGAAAUCCCCCUUAUGGGUGUUUUACGUAGAAAUACUAUUUUUGCUUAUUUUGACGAUCCCCGAUACAGAAAAGAUAAAAAGGGUUCAGGAAUUGUUAAAUUUAGAUAUAGGACCCUAGAAGAAGAAUAUAGGACUCGAGCGGAAGACUCAGAAGAGGAAUAUGAGACCCUAGAAGACGAAUACAGGACCCGAGAGGACGAAUAUGAAUAUGAAACCCUAGAAGAAUCUAAAUAUGGAAUCCUAUAA